CCUACGGGGGGCAGCAGUGGGGAAUAUUGCACAAUGGGCGAAAGCCUGAUGCAGCGACGCCGCGUGAGCGAAGAAGGCCUUCGGGUCGUAAAGCUAUGUCCUAAGGGAAGAAAAGGACGGUACGUUAGGAGGAAGCCCCGGCUAACUACGUGCCAGCAGCCGCGGUAAUAGGGAGGGGGCGAGCGUUAUCCGGAAUUACUGGGCGUAAAGGGUGCGUAGGCGGCCUUUUAAGUCAGAUGUGAAAGGCUACGGCUUAACCGUAGUUAGCAUUUGAAACUAGUAGGCGUGAGUGCAGGAGAGGAGAGAGGAAUUCCUAGGGGAGAGGUGAAAUGCGUAGAGAUUAGGGGGCCCACCAGAGGCGAAGGCGACCCUCUGGACUGCAACUGACGCUGAGGCAAGAUAGCGUGGGGAGCGAACAGGAUUAGAUACCCGUGUAGUC
RNAcentral lists this ribosomal RNA (439 nucleotides) under uncultured bacterium. RNAcentral's name for it is "bacterial SSU rRNA". It matches the Rfam family "Bacterial small subunit ribosomal RNA", at positions 338 to 795 of the family's 1533-position model. The record is from RNAcentral.